AGUCGACGGCAGCCGGGGGCAACCCUGGUGGCGAGUGGCGAACGGGUGAGUAAUAUAUCGGAACGUGCCCUGGAGUGGGGGAUAACGUAGCGAGGGUUACGCUAAUACCGCAUACGAUCUACGGAUGAAAGUGGGGGACCGCAAGGCCUCAUGCUCGUGGAGCGGCCGAUAUCUGAUUAGCUAGUUGGUAGGGUAAAGGCCUACCAAGGCAUCGAUCAGUAGCUGGUCUGAGAGGACGACCAGCCACACUGGGACUGAGACACGGCCCAGACUCCUACGGGAGGCAGCAGUGGGGAAUUUUGGACAAUGGGGGCAACCCUGAUCCAGCAAUGCCGCGUGAGUGAAGAAGGCCUUCGGGUUGUAAAGCUCUUUUGUCCGGGAAGAAACGGUUGUCUCUAAUACAGAUGGCUAAUGACGGUACCGGAAGAAUAAGCACCGGCUAACUACGUGCCAGCAGCCGCGGUAAUACGUAGGGUGCGAGCGUUAAUCGGAAUUACUGGGCGUAAAGCGUGCGCAGGCGGUUGUGCAAGACAGAUGUGAAAUCCCCGGGCUUAACCUGGGAAUUGCAUUUGUGACU
RNAcentral lists this ribosomal RNA (577 nucleotides) under uncultured bacterium. Its description in RNAcentral is "bacterial SSU rRNA". It matches the Rfam family "Bacterial small subunit ribosomal RNA", at positions 60 to 634 of the family's 1533-position model. The record is from RNAcentral.